Oncorhynchus tshawytscha (Chinook salmon) is the source of this 639-nucleotide long non-coding RNA. RefSeq lists it as uncharacterized. The record is from RefSeq and is a predicted model, not a curated record. NCBI's taxonomy places the organism in Eukaryota, Metazoa, Chordata, Actinopteri, Salmoniformes, Salmonidae. The transcript is spliced from 2 exons.
CUGAACCAUGGAACCACCAAGGAUGACUCCUUCAUCAAGGAUGCAGCCAGGGUGUGUCGGGGUUUUGUGGAGAGAGCAGAGGGAGAGGUCCGCUUCUCUGCUGUGGCCCUCUGUCAUACCUAGAGACCCUGGAGAGGGACACACACAACACACACACACACACAGGUGAACCAUGGUGUAUACACACCUGGUAUGUACUGGAAACAGUUUGCACUCUCCCCACACACACACACCGCAGCACACAUGCGUAGAUGUUAGUUUGCACAAGCCUGGUGUCACGUUGAUGUCACUACUGCUGUACUUUCUGUCUGCUGUACUGUUAUUUAUUUUUCCAAGUCAGAUCACCACUGAGAAAGUAGUGCACUUACAUGGGGAGUAGGGAGCCGUUUGCUCUGCAGCCUGUGAGGUGUUCCUGUUUUUCUGCUGUCUGACUCCUCAGCUCUGUUUCUAACAGCUGUUACGUCAGACUACGAUGUUAGGAUGACGUUGUUACUGUGUUAGGAUGACGUUGUUACUGUGUUAGGAUGACGUUAGGAUGACGUUGUUACUGUGUUAGGAUGACACUGCAACAAUGUUGGCUGUGCUUUGCCUUUCUGCAUCUUCCUGUGCUGCUGACUGCCAAUAAACAACCAAACUACA